RNAcentral lists this ribosomal RNA (360 nucleotides) under Planococcus sp. (in: firmicutes). Its description in RNAcentral is "bacterial SSU rRNA". It matches the Rfam family "Bacterial small subunit ribosomal RNA", at positions 546 to 906 of the family's 1533-position model. The record is from RNAcentral. Lineage: Bacteria; Bacillati; Bacillota; Bacilli; Caryophanales; Caryophanaceae.
CGGAUUAUUGGGCGUAAGCGCGCGCAGGCGGUCCUUUAAGUCUGAUGUGAAAGCCCACGGCUCAACCGUGGAGGGUCAUUGGAAACUGGGGGACUUGAGUGCAGAAGAGGAAAGUGGAAUUCCACGUGUAGCGGUGAAAUGCGUAGAGAUGUGGAGGAACACCAGUGGCGAAGGCGACUUUCUGGUCUGUAACUGACGCUGAGGCGCGAAAGCGUGGGGAGCAAACAGGAUUAGAUACCCUGGUAGUCCACGCCGUAAACGAUGAGUGCUAAGUGUUAGGGGGUUUCCGCCCCUUAGUGCUGCAGCUAACGCAUUAAGCACUCCGCCUGGGGAGUACGGCCGCAAGGCUGAAACUCAAAU